AUGCAGGAGAUUUCGAGUAACCCUGACCAAUGGAUUGCUCAGAUGCUUGCGGUCCCCCGUCGAGUUCACCACCAGCCGCCCCUUCUGCGGCAUAGAAACUACGGAACUGAUAUAUUAAAUUCAGAGUUUAAUGUAGUUAGGAUUCACACCAAUUCAUAUCAAACCAUGGAUUACCAGCAGAAAAAACAGAAACAAAAAUGCAUUACCGUACACAACCUGAAAAUUGGAUACUUAAUUUUUUUUCAUAGCAGCUGUAAAGAGGCAUCCUUCCACAGUAAUCCACAUCACACCAUGGAUUACUACGGGACUGAUAGAUUAAAUGAACAGUACAAACCAACCAGCAACCACACUAAUUCAUAUCACACCAUCGAUUUCUACCGGCAAAAGAAUCAAGCAAGAAGGCAAGACCAUAGAUAG
This 417-nucleotide ribosomal RNA is filed under the name Triticum aestivum (bread wheat). RNAcentral's name for it is "partial small subunit ribosomal RNA". Lineage: Eukaryota; Viridiplantae; Streptophyta; Magnoliopsida; Poales; Poaceae. The record is from RNAcentral.